This 6752-nucleotide long non-coding RNA is filed under the name Sus scrofa (pig). RNAcentral describes it as "lncRNA (ENSSSCG00025039206.1)". Lineage: Eukaryota; Metazoa; Chordata; Mammalia; Artiodactyla; Suidae. The record is from RNAcentral.
UCAUCAUUAAGGGCAUGCUGUGUGUUGAGCCCUGCAGUCCAUAAUCGGGAUGCAGAAGUAAAACAAAGAGUCCCCAUCCUGAAGGGGCUCAGUCUGUCUAAGAUAUAGGUGAGAAAUAUGAAGAACUCUGGAGAGUUGGGAAAUAAUAGUCUAGGGAUGAUUUAAGUUAUUUAGGUCAUAGAGUACAAGGCUUAUAUUUUUUAUAAGAAGGAAGACAGUCCAAACUCAAAGGGAAAGGAAAACACUAAAUGAUUAGUACAUACAUAGUAAAUAAAUUGUUCAGUGUUUAGAAUUUCACACUUGAAGGAGUUAAUGCCAGAGCUGCCAUCUUGAAGCAUUAGAAAGAGUAAAUCUCACCCUAAUCCUGCAAUAGAAUCACAGAUGCUGAAACAGAAGCUCUCUGGGUAUGGCCAUGGCAGUUCUAUUUUUAAAAAAGCUUCCAGAUGAUUCUAAUGCUUAGCCAGGAUUGAAAACCAUCGACUAAGCCAGAUAGUAGACAGGGAUUUUCUGCAAAGAAGAAACAAGUAGGUAGAGAAAACAUUUUUGAUUUUAGUUGGGAUUUUAGGGAAAUUGGGGGGGAAAGACAAAAGGAGACUGUAAAGUGGAAAAGGGUAAUGAAAGACAAAGAAAGGUAUGAAUGUGUGUUCUUGCUUCUGAAACAGCAGCAAGAUUGUUUCUGUUCCUCUUUCUUUUUGUGGAUUCAUUUGACCAAACAGAUUACUGUAUCAGGUUAAAUUUAAAUCCAAGUUUACUCAGCAUUCCCAUCCCUGAGUCCUAAAAUAAUAAUAAUAAUAAUAAUAUUUGCUUAACAGUAGGGCUUUAUAAGUUAAUACGUUAAUUUGUCUUUGUAUUCUUUCCAGUCAUUCCCCUCUUACUUUGAACCCUCUUAGAAAACAGCAUAGCAUUUGGAAAACACAUAAGAUCCUCUUUCAAAUAUUUACCUAUUUGUUACACACACACACACACACACACAAAAAAUCUCUUUGUCUGUCUGUCUAUGGAAAGGGAAAGAAUGCCCUCUUACUAUGUGCUGUGCCUUAGCAUUCUUAGGAGGAAGCUAUGGAUGCAUCAGGUGAACAUGAACUCUACUGUUACUGAAUCAUAUCCCCCAAAGGCACUAUGUUGAAGUCCUAACCCCCACUAUCUGUGACUAUGACCUUAUUUGGAAACAGAUCCUUUGUAGAGGUAAUCAAGUCAAAAUGCGGUCAUUCUGGUGGGCUUUAACCCAAUACGACUUGUGUCCAUAUAAGAUGUAGACAGAUAUACACAAGGAGAAUGUUGUGUGAUUAUGGAACAGAGAUUGAAGUACUGAAGCUGCAAGUCAAGGAGCAUCUGGAGCUACCAGAAUCAAGAAGAAGCCAAGAAGUUUUCUAUCCUGGAGGUUUUGCAAGGAACAUCUCCCUCCGCUUAGACUUUGAUUUCAAACUCUAGCCUCCAAAGGCGGGAAAGAAUAAUUUUCUGUUGUCUUAGGUCACCAAGUUUUUGGUACUUUAUUACAGCAGUUGUAAGAAACUAUGAUCUACUUUUACACUGUAGGAAAUGGGUAUCAUCUACCUUAUUAGGUUGUAGAUGAAAUUCACAGAGAUUUAUCCUAAAAAAGGAAGAAACCAGGACCUUUGCUUUCUUUCUUUUAUAAUCUAUCAUGUAGAGACAUACUUAAAUGAGCAAUCAUAUAACAGGUGGGAAAGAACUUACAAGGUAUCGUGGGAGCAAAUAAUAGGCACCCCUAAUUUAGUCAGUAAAGAAAGGGGUUUCAAGGGAAAGCAAAGACAGGCUUCCUUGAGGAAGAACCAGUUAAGAUAAUAUUUGGCAGAUGAAAGGAAUCAAGCAGAAAAAGCAGAAGGAAGGGACAAAUGGGGGGAAGGAAAUUGUGUAAUUGGUCCUAGACUUGAGACAUCCUGGAUGUAAUUGAGAUGCAUGCAAAUGUGUUGUAGGCUGAAGUCUCUCCCACAUAAUCCCUGUCAAAGGAUGUCAUUAACUCACAGUGUCAUCUGGCCACUGUACUUUUAUCCCUUCACCUUUCCUUGGAAUCCUUUAGCAUCUCAAUUUAAGCAGUUCCUUGGUUUUCAUUCGUCUAUUUUAUUUUGUAAACUCUGAUCCAGGAUUCAAGUUCUGAAAGGAAUUCCAAAGAGCACUAGUAUUAGACCAUAACCCUGGUUGAAAGGGAAAAUGAGGCUGUUUUGUUUAUGCCUCUAGGUUGCCAUGGUAGGUGUGUUCCUGGAAGGCUAGGGAAGACAUAGACAAGAGGUCUGGAGAAGGCUUAAGACAACAGUUCUCCAAUUACAACCUGAGGAAAAAUAUUCAAUGUAGUAACAUAUUCUAUCACUAAAGGCUCCAUGGUAAUUAAGUUUGAGGAAUGCUGAACUGGAACAUUAACAGGCUGUUUUGUUCCUUUGCUUUGCUGUAGAUGCUCAGAGACUCUAAUACAUAAAAAAUCUCUAAGACUAAAUUAUAGUAUUAGUUGUCUCCAUUGUUUUGUUUUAAACAUUUUGCAGAAUAGAGAAGAUAUUUGUUGCUUAUGCAUUUACUUAUGUUUAUAUUUGAAGAUUCUGAUUCGAGUGAGUCUUUAUGUAGAUCAGGGCUCUGCUUCAUAUCAUAGAAGCCAAAAAGACUAGACCAUUGAGAUAUUUGUUUUCCUCGAAUGAGAAGGCUAGAGUUUGGGGAAGUGAUCUAAGCUUGGCCAGUAGGAUUCUCUUACAAGGGACUUUUAAAUCUGGAACCAAAAAUAAUAGAAAGCAGAGGACAUGUAGAAUUCGCCCUGGAGUGGUGACAGCCUCUGAUCACCAUUUCAUUGGUGCCAGCAGUAAUUAGUGACAGGUGGCAGGCAGCAGCUUCUCUCUACAAUGACUACUGUGGUACUUCCAGCUGCAUUGGGUCCUGCUAUUAAUCAAGGUAGAUGUUGUCAACUUAGGAGAUAAACCACAGUUCUUCCAAUCCAGUACAUUUUUUAUUAUUAGAAUCAGGUUUCUAUUGGUUACAACCAGGCAUAUGUUCACAGAGCAACUCUGACUGUAGUGCUUCAAGGAAUAUAUUUUGGGGAAAUUUUUUUCUUUAGGGCUGCCCCUGUGGCAUAUGGAUGAUUCCAGGAUAGGGGUCAAAUUAGAGCUGCAGCUGCCUGCCUAUGCCACAGCCACAGCAAUGCAGGAUCUGAGCGGUGCGGCUGCAACCUACACUCCAGCUCAUGGCAACACCAUAUCCUUAACCCACUGAGGAAGGCCAGGGAUCGAACCUGCAUCCUCAUGGAUACCAGUCAGAUUCGUUUCCAUGGAGCCACAAUAGGAACUCCCUCCAGCAUUUGUUAUUUGUUGACUUGUUAAUGAUGGCCGUUCUGACAGGUGUGAGGUGGUACCUCAUAGUAGUUUUUAUUUGCAUUUCUCUAAUAUUUAGUGAUGUUGAACAAUUUUUCAUGUGCUGUUGGCCAUCUGUAUAUCUUCUUUGGAGAAAUGUCUAUUCAGGUCUUUUGCCCAUUUUUCAACUGGGUUGUUGACUUUUUGCUGUUGAGUUAUAUAAGUUGUUUGUAUAUUUUAGCAAUUAAGCCCAUGUCAGUUGCAUCAUUUGAAACUAUUUUCUCCCAUUCUUUAGGUUGUCUUUUUGGUUUCUUUUUUUAUGGUUUCCUUUGCUGUGCGAAAGCUUGUCAGUUUGAUUAGGUCCCAUUUGUUUAUUUUUGCUUUUAUUUCUGUUGCCUUGAGAGACUGACCGAAGAAAACAUUUAUAAGGUUGAUGUCAGGGAAUGUCUUGCAUAUGUUCUGUUCUAGAAGUUUGAUGGUGUCUUAUCCUAUGUUUAAGUCCUUAAGCCAUUUUGAGUUUAUUUUUGUGCAUGGUGUGAGGGUGUGUUCCAGUUUCAUUGAUUUACAUGCAGCUCAAGUGGGCUCUUGAAAGUGGAGGAGGUUCUGCCAUAUCCCUAAUAAAAUGUGGAGGCCCCUCCCUGAAAAAAAAGUGGAGAGGGGAAGUGGAAGAAUCAGUGAGAAAGAGAUGAAAGGGCAAAAUAGGGACUACAGAUUUGAAGCAUUAGAGGGAUUGACUUACCAUUCCUGGCUUUGAAGACAAAAGGACCAGAAAGCAAGUAAGGCAGGCAGCUUCCAGAAGAUAAGAGCAACUUCCAGAUGCCAGCCAGGGAGGAAAUAGGACCUCAGCCAUACAACUGCAUAGACCUGAAUUCUGCCAACAGCUUAAAAUAUUAUGGAAUUAGAUUGACCCCUAGAGCCUCCAGGACAUCCAGGAGCCCUGCAGACAUCUUGAUCUUGGCUUUGUAAGACUUGAAGCAGAAAAACAAGGUGAACUUACCAGACUUUGACUAUAAAACAGUAGUGUUGUUAAAUGGGUGUCAUUUUCAGGUAUUAUUUGUGGUAAUUUGUUACACAGCCAUAGAAAGCUAAUGCAAUUGUAUUUUAAGGACCUCUUAGGAGGCCUAGUGGAUGGCUUUUGUAUGGGUAUCCCAGCCCCCCCAUUGCUUAGCCUUUCUUGCUAAGAAUCAGUACAACUCACAUCUGGUUAUAUAAAAAGCCAGCUUGGAGAUUCGAUCUCUGGAAGAGAGACUAAAGCAACAGGAUACAAAUCUGGUCUCUGAAUUUUCCUUUGCCUUCUAAGAUCUGCUGAUCAAAGUACAAUUGCUUCCCUGAGCUGAUGAGAAUGAAUCCUGUUUCUUAGGUCAAUAACACACUGUCCAUUUGAUUCCAUCACAUCCCUCCUCUGUUAUAAGCAUGUGCCAGCCCCUUUCUGAAUUGAUUCUAGCACCUCAUUCUCAAUCUUAACUCGGAUUCUUCUCUUUCUUCUCAUAGCAGAUCUCAAGCAGAUGAGAGCAAAUACCUGGUGCUUGACUGUGUUAGACUCUAUCUUGUGAGAUUAUGCCUUUGGGGAAAAGCCCAACCGGGUAGAAAUUCAAAAUAUAGAUUAUGAAAACUGAAUCCAGGAAAUAUAAAGUAAGUUCUUAAUGAGGUAGAUCGAUUCAGUGGGGCUGCUGUGAAUAUUAAUUAUUGUCAUAGAAUAUAUACAGUAUAUAAUAUUAGAAUAGAUACAGUAUAUAAGUAUAUCCUUUUGGGCAAUGGUUUGAGUAGCCAUAUAAGUUAGGUAUUAAUAUCAUCAUUUUUGUUUUUUAAGUAUUAUCUAUUUAUCUAUAUAUAAAUAAUAUGUUUUCAGAUUUAUACAUAAAUUGAACAGACAGUAUAGAUUUACAUAUAUUUACCCUACCCCCAUUUCCAACCUCCCUCCUACACUCCCACACAGAUUCCUUUAUUAUUAAAUUAUUAUCUCUUGCAUUCAUUACAAUGGAUGGACCAAUAUCCAAUACAUUGUCAUAGCCAAAGUCUGUAAUUUACCUUAGGGUUUACUCUUGCUUUGUACAGUUUUAUGGGUUUUGAAAAAUGCUCAUUGUUAUGUACCUACCAUUACAGUAUCAUACACAAUAGUUUUAUCCUAAUGAUCUCCUGUACUUCAUCUGUUCAUCCCUCUCCUUCCUCCAGUGAAACCCUUAAUAACCAUGGAUUUUUAAAAUUUUCUGUAUGUAUUUUUUUCCCAAUGCCAUAUAGUUGGAAUCAUACAGGAUGUAGCAUUUACAGACUGGCUUUUUUUUAAACUCAACAAUAUGCAUUUAAGAUUCCUCCAUGUCUUUUUGUGGUUUAUUAGUUCAUUUCUUAGUAUCACUAAAUACUUUUCCAUUGUAUGGAUGUACCAUAAUUUGUUUAUCCAUUCACCUAUGGAAGGACAUCUUGGUAUGCCUCUAGUUGGGGACCAAAAUGAAUAAAGCUGAUAUAAACAUCAUGUUCAGGUUUUUGUGUGGACAUUUAUCAGAGAUAGGACUGCAUUGUUGGGAGGGAAAUGUUUCUUUUAGUUGGAGAGAAUUUUAUCAGUGUGACACUUUUGGCUUCUCUUCACCACUUCCAUCCCUCAGCUUUCUGAGAAAUAGAGAUUUAUCUGAUUGGUACAAAUGUGGGCAUUACAGACUUAGCUCCUCCUUACUUCCUGUUUAGCAAGGGCACCCUCUGUAUUAUCAAGUCUGCUAUAAUUAACCAACCUUCAGCCAUGUCCUAAAACCUGACCUUUGUUAGUUAUCAAGGUCAUAAUAUCACUUCCAUAUUUAUAUUAAUUCUUUUUCAGAUUCUUCAAAACUUGGGCAGGAAAGAAUAUUAUUUAUCAUAAGCUACCUCAGAGACUCUCAGCAAAAGCUAAAGCUCAGAAAGCUUAAGUAAUUCAUACAAAGGCAAGCAGUUAGCAAGUAGCAGAACCAAAAUUCAGUCUAAGUUGGUCAGACUCCAAAGUCUGUAUUCAUUAUACCUACAAUACCAUCCUUUUCCAAAGUACUUUCAAAGUUUAGUUCCACUGAGUAUUUAUUAUUACUACUGGGGGAGGGGAAGGGGAAAGGAAUUUUUAUAUUCAAGUAAACUUAAGGAAACUGUAUUCAAUAAAAUUAAUCUAGCUUAUUUAUAGAAUUUGUUCACAUCCUAAGUAGACAUAGUGCACAGUGGAACCUAAAUUUAUAUGGUCAUGGAGCUCCUUUAAAGGAUAUUUCAUGAGGAGUUCCCAUUGUGGCUCAGCAGGGUUAAGAACAUGACAUAGUGUCCAUGAGGAUGCAUGUGCAAUCCCUGGCCUUGCUCAGUGGGUUAAUGCUCCAGUGUUCCACAAGCUGUGGCUCAGAUCCGGUGUUGCUGUGGUGUGACAUAGACCUCAGAUCCAGCUCUCAUUAGACCCCUAGCCUGGGAACUUCCAUAUGCUGCAGGUGCAGCUGUAAAAAGAAAAAAAAUAAAAAAAAAUAAAAA